This is a long non-coding RNA of Salvia miltiorrhiza (redroot sage), 390 nucleotides long. RefSeq lists it as uncharacterized. The transcript is spliced from 3 exons. NCBI's taxonomy places the organism in Eukaryota, Viridiplantae, Streptophyta, Magnoliopsida, Lamiales, Lamiaceae. The record is from RefSeq and is a predicted model, not a curated record.
CACACACUCCCUCCAUUAAAGCUUCUUCAAGCUUUUGAGCUCCGAUUUGAGCACCGAGACGAGCGCCGAUCAUCUUUUUGAUCACGUUUUUACGUAGGUCCUUUUGGGAAGUAACGACUUGAGGGAGAGAGUGACGUUACUCAUUGAUACAGAGACACAACGAGGUUGAGCUGAUGUGAUGAUGGUGCUGCAAUGAGCGGAGUCUCCAGGGUUGUUAAUAAAUAGUUAACCUGUCUAGAAUAUGUCUUCAUACAUAUGUCUAGCUACUUUCCGCUGCAAGAUGUUGUUGAUGUUAUAGUAUGUUAUGUCAUACUUUGAGUCUUAAGAGAAUGGUUUCAUAUGAUGUAUAACUUGAUUAAUGAUAUUAAUUAAGUUUUAUGUUGUCUUUCA